AGCGAACGCUGGCGGCAGGCUUAACACAUGCAAGUCGAGCGGGCAUAGCAAUAUGUCAGCGGCAGACGGGUGAGUAACGCGUGGGAACGUACCUUUUGGUUCGGAACAACACAGGGAAACUUGUGCUAAUACCGGAUAAGCCCUUACGGGGAAAGAUUUAUCGCCGAAAGAUCGGCCCGCGUCUGAUUAGCUAGUUGGUGAGGUAAUGGCUCACCAAGGCGACGAUCAGUAGCUGGUCUGAGAGGAUGAUCAGCCACAUUGGGACUGAGACACGGCCCAAACCCCGACGGAGGGCAGCAGGGGGAAAUAUUGGACAGGGGGCGAAGGCCUGAACCAGCUAUGCCGGGGGAGUGAGGAGGCCCUAGGGGUUGAAAAGCUUUUUGGUGGGGGAAAAUAAGGACGGCACGGAAAGAAUAAGCCCCGGAUAACUGCGU
RNAcentral lists this ribosomal RNA (434 nucleotides) under uncultured bacterium. Its description in RNAcentral is "partial 16S ribosomal RNA". It matches the Rfam family "Bacterial small subunit ribosomal RNA", at positions 29 to 506 of the family's 1533-position model. The record is from RNAcentral.